AACGAACGCUGGCGGCAUGCCUAACACAUGCAAGUCGAACGAUGCCUCCGGGCAUAGUGGCGCACGGGUGCGUAACGCGUGGGAAUCUGCCCUUGGGUUCGGAAUAACUCGCCGAAAGGCGAGCUAAUACCGGAUGAUGACGUAAGUCCAAAGAUUUAUCGCCCAAGGAUGAGCCCGCGUAGGAUUAGCUAGUUGGUGGGGUAAGGGCCCACCAAGGCGACGAUCCUUAGCUGGUCUGAGAGGAUGAUCAGCCACACUGGGACUGAGACACGGCCCAGACUCCUACGGGAGGCAGCAGUGGGGAAUAUUGGACAAUGGGCGAAAGCCUGAUCCAGCAAUGCCGCGUGAGUGAUGAAGGCCUUAGGGUUGUAAAGCUCUUUUACCCGGGAUGAUAAUGACAGUACCGGGAGAAUAAGCUCCGGCUAACUCCGUG
RNAcentral lists this ribosomal RNA (433 nucleotides) under uncultured bacterium. RNAcentral describes it as "partial 16S ribosomal RNA". It matches the Rfam family "Bacterial small subunit ribosomal RNA", at positions 29 to 507 of the family's 1533-position model. The record is from RNAcentral.